GGUGGUUCUUGGGUGACGCACGCACCCUGGAAUUGGUCUCUCUCCUCUCUGGUUCUGGGGUGCAUCACCCAAGAACCACU
Molecule: non-coding RNA, 80 nt
Organism: Myotis brandtii (Brandt's bat)
Lineage: Eukaryota; Metazoa; Chordata; Mammalia; Chiroptera; Vespertilionidae
Source: Rfam